CAUAGUGGUGCGACUUUAUUGUGCAUAGUGGUGCG
This 35-nucleotide small RNA is filed under the name Plasmodium falciparum 3D7. Its description in RNAcentral is "Pfa-starR6813". The record is from RNAcentral. Lineage: Eukaryota; Apicomplexa; Aconoidasida; Haemosporida; Plasmodiidae.